Long non-coding RNA from Centruroides sculpturatus (bark scorpion), 741 nucleotides. RefSeq lists it as uncharacterized. The record is from RefSeq and is a predicted model, not a curated record. The transcript has 3 exons. NCBI's taxonomy places the organism in Eukaryota, Metazoa, Arthropoda, Arachnida, Scorpiones, Buthidae.
UAAGUUAACGAGUAAGAAAAUUUGGCCAAUUGUUUUUACUGUUUAUCUGUCGGUUAAAACGUGCCUUUCACAAUGCAUUCUACGCCGUUUUAGUUUUCCACUAACAAGUGGUGAUAUAUUUGUAUGCCGAGACCGCUCGACAGCGCGGCCGAAGCGAGCCGCUGAGGCUGCAGUUCCCCAAAGCUUAUAAUUGUACUUCAGGCAAAUCCUGUUCGAACCAUUGAUGUAUCGAAUCUCGUAAUUCACUACGUCCAGUUAUCAAUUGUUUUCAGAUAUCCUCCUUUCACUUCUAUACAUCUCCUUGGAAGAUCGCUCUUGUGUCGACAGUGUUGCCAGAUUUGCCGGUUAUCCGGAAUUUUUCAAACUGCCAUCAAGCCGCAGGACUUUAUUCUAAAUCCUCUUCCUACAGUGAAGUAUCUUUAAUUUACCACAGUUUAAAUGUAUUUCUGUCUCUGGAAGAGUAGAAAUUGGGCUUUUUUUCUUAAUGGUAGGGAUGUUAGUGUGUGUUUCGGAAGAGGCACAAUUUUGCUCAACUGAUUUCAAGCUCAAUAACACCUGUGCUUUUUGUCGAAAAUUUCAGAAAUUUUGCAGGGAGGUUCGUGUAUUAGGGAAAUUGAUGCUACUAAAUUUUGGUGGUUAAAAGAUCGGGAGGAUGGAGAGAUAUAGGGGAUUACGUGUCGUCGUAUCUCGUGUGGGAUCGGACUUAAUAAUUUUACUGGUUAUUAGCAUUUACAAGUUUUU